This 581-nucleotide ribosomal RNA is filed under the name Phylloporus subrubeolus. RNAcentral's name for it is "partial large subunit ribosomal RNA". It matches the Rfam family "Eukaryotic large subunit ribosomal RNA", at positions 123 to 701 of the family's 3401-position model. Lineage: Eukaryota; Fungi; Basidiomycota; Agaricomycetes; Boletales; Boletaceae. The record is from RNAcentral.
GGUCCUCGUGGCCGUCCGAGUUGUAAUCUAGAGAAGCGUCUUCCGCGCUGGACCGUGUACAAGUCUCCUGGAAGGGAGCGUCAUAGAGGGUGAGAAUCCCGUCUUUGACACGGACUGCCAGGGCUAUGUGAUGCGCUCUCGAAGAGUCGAGUUGUUUGGGAAUGCAGCUCAAAACGGGUGGUAAAUUCCAUCUAAAGCUAAAUACAGGCGAGAGACCGAUAGCGAACAAGUACCGUGAGGGAAAGAUGAAAAGAACUUUGGAAAGAGAGUUAAACAGUACGUGAAAUUGCUGAAAGGGAAACGCUUGAUGUCAGUCGCGUCCGCCAGGGAUCAACCUUGCAUUCGUUUGCUGGGCGCAAUUCUUGGUAGGACGGGUCAGCAUCAGUUUCGAUCGUCGUAGAAUGGUCAAGGGAAUGUGGCACCUCCAGGGGUGUGUUAUAGCCCUGGGUCGUAUGCGUCGGUAGGGACUGAGGAACUCGGCACGAACCCCUUUGUGUCUAGGAUGCUGGCAUAAUGGCCUUAAGCGACCCGUCUUGAAACACGGACCAAGGAGUCUAACAUGCCUGCGAGUGUUUGGGUGG